AGACCCGAAACCCGGUGAUCUAGCCAUGGGCAGGUUGAAGGUUGGGUAACACUAACUGGAGGACCGAACCGACUAAUGUUGAAAAAUUAGCGGAUGACCUGUGGCUGGGGGUGAAAGGCCAAUCAAACCGGGAGAUAGCUGGUUCUCCCCGAAAGCUAUUUAGGUAGCGCCUCGUGAAUUCAUCUCCGGGGGUAGAGCACUGUUUCGGCUAGGGGGCCAUCCCGGCUUACCAACCCGAUGCAAACUGCGAAUACCGGAGAAUGUUAUCACGGGAGACACACGGCGGGUGCUAACGUCCGUCGUGAAGAGGGAAACAACCCAGACCGCCAGCUAAGGUCCCAAAGUCAUGGUUAAGUGGGAAACGAUGUGGGAAGGCCCAGACAGCCAGGAUGUUGGCUUAGAAGCAGCCAUCAUUUAAAGAAAGCGUAAUAGCUCACUGGUCGAGUCGGCCUGCGCGGAAGAUGUAACGGGGCUAAACCAUGCACCGAAGCUGCGGCAGCGAACGUAUCACCCAAGACAACUUUACGGAGUUAACGAUUGACGGAGCGAAGCGACGU
This 557-nucleotide ribosomal RNA is filed under the name Salmonella enterica. RNAcentral describes it as "partial 23S ribosomal RNA". It matches the Rfam family "Bacterial large subunit ribosomal RNA", at positions 711 to 1224 of the family's 2925-position model. The record is from RNAcentral. Lineage: Bacteria; Pseudomonadati; Pseudomonadota; Gammaproteobacteria; Enterobacterales; Enterobacteriaceae.